AUUGAACGCUGGCGGCAUGCCUUACACAUGCAAGUCGAACGGCAGCGGGCCUUCGGGUGCCGGCGAGUGGCGAACGGUGAGUAAUGCAUCGGAACGUGCCAUUGAGUGGGGGAUAACGUAGCGAAAGUUACGCUAAUACCGCAUAUUCUGUGAGCAGGAAAGCAGGGGACCGCAAGGCCUUGCGCUCUUUGAGCGGCCGAUGUCAGAUUAGCUAGUUGGUGAGGUAAAGGACUUACCAAGGCGACGAUCUGUAGCGGGUCUGAGAGGAUGAUCCGCCACACUGGAACUGAGACACGGUCCAGACUCCUACGGGAGGCAGCAGUGGGGGAAUUUUGGACAAUGGGCGCAAGCCUGAUCCAGCCAUGCCGCGUGAGUGAAGAAGGCCUUC
This 388-nucleotide ribosomal RNA is filed under the name uncultured bacterium. RNAcentral describes it as "bacterial SSU rRNA". It matches the Rfam family "Bacterial small subunit ribosomal RNA", at positions 30 to 419 of the family's 1533-position model. The record is from RNAcentral.